GACGAACGCUGGCGGCGUGCUUAACACAUGCAAGUCGAACGGAAAGGCCCUGCUUUUGUGGGGUGCUCGAGUGGCGAACGGGUGAGUAGCACGUGAGUAACCUGCCCUUGACUUUGGGAUAACUUCAGGAAACUGGGGCUAAUACCGGAUAGGAGCUCCUGCUGCAUGGUGGGGGUUGGAAAGUUUCGGCGGUUGGGGAUGGACUCGCGACUUAUCAGCUUGUUGGUGGGGUAGUGGCUUACCAAGGCUUUGACGGGUAGCCGGCCUGAGAGGGUGACCGGCCACAUUGGGACUGAGAUACGGCCCAGACUCCUACGGGAGGCAGCAGUGGGGAAUACUGCACAAUGGGCGGAAGCCUGAUGCAGCAACGCCGCGUGCGGGAUGACGGCCUUCGGGUUGUAAACCGCUUUCGCCUGUGACGAAGCGUGAGUGACGGUAAUGGGUAAAGAAGCACCGGCUAACUACGUG
RNAcentral lists this ribosomal RNA (468 nucleotides) under uncultured bacterium. Its description in RNAcentral is "partial 16S ribosomal RNA". It matches the Rfam family "Bacterial small subunit ribosomal RNA", at positions 28 to 507 of the family's 1533-position model. The record is from RNAcentral.